AUUUUCUCGAAACGUUUUCGGUCAAUAUACGACAAUUCGACGAAUGUCAUAAUAUUCUCAAUAAAAUUCAUAUCAAAUAUACUACGAUUGACGGUAAAUAUACUACCGUACAGCCCGAAUAUAACUUCAAAAGUGUAAACGACCAAAAAAAUAUCGAAAGAUAUGCGGAAAAUAUACAAAAUUCCGAGGACACU
The sequence is a regulatory RNA element, 194 nucleotides long. It matches the Rfam family "Baculoviridae Nucleocapsid Assembly essential Element". From Rfam's summary of the family: Internal cis-element within the ac83 gene. The record is from Rfam.